Non-coding RNA from Brachypodium distachyon (stiff brome), 129 nucleotides. The record is from Rfam. Lineage: Eukaryota; Viridiplantae; Streptophyta; Magnoliopsida; Poales; Poaceae.
CGACUACUCCCUUCGUCCCAUAUGAAGUGACUCAAAUUUGUCCAAAUAUGGAUGUAUCUAUGCCUAAAAAGCGUCUAGAUAGAUAUAUGUAAUAGAAAGUCACUUAAUAUGGGACGGAGGGAGUAUUUU